This 498-nucleotide ribosomal RNA is filed under the name uncultured bacterium. RNAcentral describes it as "partial 16S ribosomal RNA". It matches the Rfam family "Bacterial small subunit ribosomal RNA", at positions 28 to 507 of the family's 1533-position model. The record is from RNAcentral.
GACGAACGCUGGCGGCGUGCCUAAUACAUGCAAGUCGAGCGGACGGAUGGGAGCUUGCUCCCAGACCGUCAGCGGCGGACGGGGGAGUAACACGUGGGCAACCUGCCUGUAAGACUGGGAUAACUCCGGGAAACCGGGGCUAAUUCCGGAUAACUCUUUCCCUCACCUGAGGGAAAGCGGAAAGAUGGCAUCUCGCUAUCACUUACAGAUGGGCCCGCGGCGCAUUAGCUAGUUGGUAAGGUAACGGCUCACCAAGGCGACGUUGCGUAGCCGACCUGAGAGGGUGAUCGGCCACACUGGAACUGAGACACGGCCCAGACUCCUACGGGAGGCAGCAGUAGGGAAUCUUCCGCAAUGGGCGAAAGUCUGACGGAGCAACGCCGCGUGAGUGAUGAAGGUUUUCGGAUCGUAAAACUCUGUUAUCAGGGAAGAACAAGUACCGAAGUAACUGCGGAUAUCUUGACGGUACCUGACCAGAAAGCCACGGCUAACUACGUG